GCAUAUCAAUAAGCGGAGGAAAAGAAACUAACAAGGAUUCCCCUAGUAACUGCGAGUGAAGCGGGAAAAGCUCAAAUUUAAAAUCUGGCGGUCUCUGGCCGUCCGAGUUGUAAUCUAGAGAAGUAAUGCCCGUGCUGGACCGUGUAUAAGUCUCCUGGGAUGGAGCGUCAUAGAGGGUGAGAAUCCCGUCUUUGACACGGACUACCAGUGCAUUGUGGUAUGCUCUCAAAGAGUCGAGUUGUUUGGGAAUGCAGCUCAAAAUGGGUGGUAAAUUCCAUCUAAAGCUAAAUAUUGGCGAGAGACCGAUAGCGAACAAGUACCGUGAGGGAAAGAUGAAAAGAACUUUGGAAAGAGAGUUAAACAGUACGUGAAAUUGCUGAAAGGGAAACGCUUGAAGUCAGUCGCGUUGGCCAGGGAUCAGCCUUGCUUUUGCAUGGUGUACUUUCUGGUUGACGGGUCAGCAUCAAUUUUGACCGCUGGAAAAGGGCCUGGGGAAUGUGGCAGCUUCGGCUGUGUUAUAGCCCCUGGUCGCAUACAGCGGUUGGGAUUGAGGAACUCAGCACGCCGCAAGGCCGGGUUUCGACCACGUUCGUGCUUAGGAUGCUGGCAUAAUGGCUUUAAGCGACCCGUCUUGAAACACGGACCAAGGAGUCUAACAUGCCUGCGAGUAUUUGGGUGGAAAACCCAAGUGCGUAAUGAAAGUGAAAGUUGAGAUCCCUGUCGUGGGGAGCAUCGACGCCCGGACCAGAACUUUUGGGACGGAUCCGCGGUGGAGCAUGUAUGUUGGGACCCGAAAGAUGGUGAACUAUGCCUGAAUAGGGUGAAGCCAGAGGAAACUCUGGUGGAGGCUCGUAGCGAUUCUGACGUGCAAAUCGAUCGUCAAAUUUGGGUAUAGGGGGCGAAAGACUAAUCGAACCAUCUAGUAGCUGGGUCUGC
Molecule: ribosomal RNA, 936 nt
Filed under: Agaricus campestris
Lineage: Eukaryota; Fungi; Basidiomycota; Agaricomycetes; Agaricales; Agaricaceae
Description: LSU rRNA
Rfam family: Eukaryotic large subunit ribosomal RNA
Source: RNAcentral